AAUCCUCACUUCCAGGGGCAGGGCUGAGCUGCAUCACCAAGGGAACUUUUGGAUGCUCCUGCGUUUGCUUGCUCAGUUUGCCUCUGUGGAGCUAUGAGACAGACAAGCAGUGCACCAAAAUGAUGGAGAAUUUCAAUUAUAAUAAGGGACUCCUUGCAGUCUUCCUGAUGUAAACUGCACCAGUAAAGCAUAAAAGCAGGGUAUGAAAGGAAAAGUUAAUCCUGGGAUCUUCAAAGCAAAACCCAGUGACUUCAGUCAAAAUUAUUUGGACAUGGAAAAAAUCCUGAUAACUACUGUCACACACACAGAGUGACACAUGGACAUGUCCACUUACUUUGACUUUUGGGAAGUGGCAGAGGAGGAGGAAAUGCAAGUACCAGAUCAAAAGAGCAAGAGUUUUCAAGUUGUCAGCAUGACUGUGUCCCCCCGCAGGAAAUCCUCUGAGAUUCACAGUUGUGUUUAGGAGCAUGGAAUAGGUGGUGGACAGCCCAAAGAUCCAGACACCACCUUAUGUUUCUAACCCUUUCUUGUAAUAUUAUCUCUUCUCAGUCUUUACCAUUUUGGACAGGUUUCUCAGAGGCUCAUCCUGUCUUAUUUUUAAUGAAUAAAAAAAGGGGUUAAUUUUCCUAUGCAGUGGGGCAGCAUAUAAGAGAAAGAACCAAGAUGCUCUCACCUCUCAGCAUCUCUCUUGUGCCUGCAGUCCCUGUCUCCCAAGCCCAGAUGAUCCCUCCAAGCCUGAGGAUUGUUGGAUUCCAAAAUUUGGAUAUGAGAAAAAGAAAAUUUCUAGGUUUAAACAAAACCCUUGGGCUAACAGACACUGAGGAAAAAUCUCCAUCUAGAGUCCAGACAAGGAUCCAUUGAUGUUACGGGUUUGGAAUGUCCUGCUCAAGCCGCAGAAUCCUGCCCUGAUUUCAUCAAGCCAGUGCAGAAGACUUAUUGUGUUUUUUCUCUCCCUUUGUGUUCCCUGGAUCCUGUGCAUUCUGCAAACAUGAAUACCUCUUUCCCCCAUGUAAUCCCCCUAAGAUAAGAUGUUUUUUUCCCUAUGAUGUAAUUGUAAGACCCCAAAUUUGUAAACCUGGGUUUUUCCCUUAUGUCGUCCCCUGAAACCCCCAGUUUUUAAUAAAUUGUAAUAGUUACAACCCCCUGUUGAAUAUGUGGACCCUAAACCCUUUAAAUAUGAACUUGUAAGUCCAAUAAAGCAUUCUAGUUU
Chiroxiphia lanceolata (lance-tailed manakin) is the source of this 1210-nucleotide long non-coding RNA. RefSeq lists it as uncharacterized. The record is from RefSeq and is a predicted model, not a curated record. NCBI's taxonomy places the organism in Eukaryota, Metazoa, Chordata, Aves, Passeriformes, Pipridae. The transcript has 5 exons.